Acanthosepion pharaonis is the source of this 110-nucleotide non-coding RNA. Lineage: Eukaryota; Metazoa; Mollusca; Cephalopoda; Sepiida; Sepiidae. The record is from the annotation of a GenBank genome assembly.
UACGGUUACAUCACUUUGAAACACCGGUUCACUUACGAUCACAGAAGUUAAGCAAUUGUAAGUCUGGUCAGUACUUAGAUGGGUUGCUGCUUGGGCGUGCCGGUGGUGUA